CAGCCCCAGUCCUCCAAUAGACUGUGUAGACACACUGCUCAACCCGAAUGGAGUCUCACUGUUCCACUCCAGCACACCAGUGCACAGUCAACCGAAGGAUCAGAGCUAUAAUCCCAAAUGUCAAAAUAUUUAUUUAUUUACUUUUUUGGAAGUAGGAAUACACUUUAAAGGUUUGGGAAGAUUCUGGACACAGCACAAGAAAAAGAAAUGCAUCAGAGAAACAUGAAUGUUUGUUUGCUGCUGGAGAUGGGGUAUUUCCUGAUAAAAGACAUGAGAUUUCCUGUGUGGUGGUAAAUUCCUUAUUUUAGGUAACGUUGGUUUACCACCUACAAAAAUUUACUACGCUCUUUUCAACUUACGUUGACAUACAAUGGUACCAUUAUCCUACAAUAGCUGUUGUGACUUUAGUG
Long non-coding RNA from Chelonia mydas (Green sea turtle), 410 nucleotides. RefSeq lists it as uncharacterized. The transcript is spliced from 3 exons. The record is from RefSeq and is a predicted model, not a curated record. Lineage: Eukaryota; Metazoa; Chordata; Testudines; Cheloniidae.